Molecule: unclassified non-coding RNA, 374 nt
Filed under: uncultured Actinomycetes bacterium
Lineage: Bacteria; Bacillati; Actinomycetota; Actinomycetes
Description: uncultured actinobacterium contains 16S-23S intergenic spacer region
Source: RNAcentral
UCCGGUUUGUCACCGGCAGUCCCAUUAGAGUUCCCAACUAAAUGAUGGCAACUAAUGGCGAGGGUUGCGCUCGUUGCGGGACUUAACCCAACAUCUCACGACACGAGCUGACGACAACCAUGCACCACCUGUGUACCGCCCCGAAGGACACCGUAUCUCUACGGCUUUUCGGUACAUGUCAAGCCCAGGUAAGGUUCUUCGCGUUGCCUCGAAUUAAGCCACAUGCUCCGCCGCUUGUGCGGGCCCCCGUCAAUCCCUUUGAGUUUUAGCCUUGCGGCCGUACUCCCCAGGCGGGGUGCUUAAUGCGUUUGCGACGGCACGGAAGGGGUUGAUGCCUCCCACACCUAGCACCCAACGUUUACGGCUGGGACUAC